GUUUCUUUCAGCAGUGUUUUUUAGUUCUUGCAGAGAUCUUUCACUUCCUUGGUCAGCUGUAUCCCUAGAAAUUUCAUUCUUUUUGUUGCUAUUGUAAAUGGGAUUGCAUUAUUGAUUUGGCUCUCAGCUUGAACACUAUUGGUGUAUAGAAAUGCUACUAACUUUUGUACAUUGAUUUUGUACCCUGAAAGUUUACUAAAAUUGUUUGUCAGUUCUAAGAAGUUUUUGAUGGAGUAUAUAGGGUUUUCUAGGUAUAGAAUUAUAUCAUCUGUGAAGAGAGAUAGUUUGACUUCCUCUUUUCCUAUUUGAAUGCAUUUUAUUUCUCUUGCCUGACUGCUCUGGCCAGAACUUCCAGCACUAGGUUAAGUAGGAGUGGUUAGAGAGGAAAUUCUUGUCUUCUAGUUCUCAACGGAAAUGCUUCCAGCUUUUGCCAAUUCAGUAUGAUGUUGGAUGUGGAUUUGUCAUAAACGGCUUUUAUUAUUUUGAGUGGGGGGUUGUUGAUACCAUGUGCUUAGUGUCGAGUCAGGGUUUGGAAGCAUUUUUCUCAGUGUUCUUGCUCUCCCAUAAGGUAAGCAGUCCCUGCAUGCCUGAGCCUUAAAAAAGAUCUUUCUCUAUGUUCUUAUCCCUUCCAUACUGUUGUAAUGCAAUUACUUUUUAUCCUGUGUUUGGCUUAGGAUGGAGCAUAGGAGUAGUGUUUCUGUUUGCUUGGUACAACAUUGGUUUUGGGCAAUUCCUCUGUGCUUAGGCCUCAUUGGUGGAUCUCUUAAUUUCCCUGACCCUCUUUCUCAACCUGGGGCAAACAUACUUUGCUUUAUGUCUAUGGUGGCUCUUGGUCAGGAUAAUUUUUCUUCUCUACCCCAACUGUUGCUUUGUGCCCAUGCAAGAUCCUGAGCUCAGUAAGUUUUACUACACUUCCCCAAAUGCAGUGCAUCUUUGUCUAGGUGCUAGUAGCAGGAAGGUUUGCUGAGACUCCCCCGAGAACUUAAAACUUUGUUUCAUAUGAGAAAGGUUACAGGAAAGUGAAAAGUUUUUGAUGUCUGUCUUCUAGUAGAAGUCAAUCACUACCUGCAUACCUUUGAUACUAUGGGACUAUAUCUCUCCAGACUCCUUAUCCUCUCCAGCCUUUCUCAGAAGAAUCCAGUAGAGGUCUGUAAAAAAGUUUCUUGUGUUGAGGGCUCCAAGUUUUUCUAAACUGACAUGCUGCAUCACAGCAGGCCUUUAAGAAAUUUUAAAAUUUUAGCUGCUUUCUUUUUAUCCACUCUUUUGGUAGUUACCUCUUCCUGAGCUCUGUUUGUGUGCCUUAUGUACCUAAGUGUGUAGGGCUUUGUCACUGUUUGAAAUUCAGUUCUCAUAUGUGUAUGUGUGUUUAAUGAAUUCAGUGCUUUAAGAAAAAAAAUCAGAUUAUCUGAAAUUUUUUUUGAUUUUUAGGGUGGAAGUAAUAUUUUUUCUCACAUCUUUGCUAUGUGAAAAUGAAACAAAAUUAAUUUUUAUAGAUAAUUUAAGUUAUUUUCCCUGAGCACAUUGAAGACUAUUCCAUUGUCUUGUGCUUCCAACACAGAUAUUUGGAUAAUUGCCUCCUUUUUGACUUGCUGAGUCUUCUGGCCUUCAAUUUACUCCUGUGCUGGAUGCUUCCUGCCAUUGUAUAUCACAUUCGAAGUUCUUCGGCUUUUGGACUCUUGGACUUACACCAGUAGUUUGCCAGGGGCUUUUGGGCCUCUGGCCACAGACUUAAGUCUGCACUGUCGGCUUCCCUACUUCUGAGGUUUUGGGACUCUGACUGAUCCACCACUGGCUUCCUUGCUGUUAAACUUGUAGACAACCUGUCAUUGGACUUUACCUUGUGAUUGUGUGAGUCAAUUAUCCUUAAUAAACAC
Molecule: long non-coding RNA, 1874 nt
Filed under: Homo sapiens (human)
Lineage: Eukaryota; Metazoa; Chordata; Mammalia; Primates; Hominidae
Description: HSALNT0075896
Source: RNAcentral